RNAcentral lists this ribosomal RNA (1456 nucleotides) under Enterococcus durans. RNAcentral's name for it is "bacterial SSU rRNA". It matches the Rfam family "Bacterial small subunit ribosomal RNA". Lineage: Bacteria; Bacillati; Bacillota; Bacilli; Lactobacillales; Enterococcaceae. The record is from RNAcentral.
AAUACAUGCAAGUCGUACGCUUCUUUUUCCACCGGAGCUUGCUCCACCGGAAAAAGAAGAGUGGCGAACGGGUGAGUAACACGUGGGUAACCUGCCCAUCAGAAGGGGAUAACACUUGGAAACAGGUGCUAAUACCGUAUAACAAUCGAAACCGCAUGGUUUUGAUUUGAAAGGCGCUUUCGGGUGUCGCUGAUGGAUGGACCCGCGGUGCAUUAGCUAGUUGGUGAGGUAACGGCUCACCAAGGCYACGAUGCAUAGCCGACCUGAGAGGGUGAUCGGCCACAUUGGGACUGAGACACGGCCCAAACUCCUACGGGAGGCAGCAGUAGGGAAUCUUCGGCAAUGGACGAAAGUCUGACCGAGCAACGCCGCGUGAGUGAAGAAGGUUUUCGGAUCGUAAAACUCUGUUGUUAGAGAAGAACAAGGAUGAGAGUAACUGUUCAUCCCUUGACGGUAUCUAACCAGAAAGCCACGGCUAACUACGUGCCAGCAGCCGCGGUAAUACGUAGGUGGCAAGCGUUGUCCGGAUUUAUUGGGCGUAAAGCGAGCGCAGGCGGUUUCUUAAGUCUGAUGUGAAAGCCCCCGGCUCAACCGGGGAGGGUCAUUGGAAACUGGGAGACUUGAGUGCAGAAGAGGAGAGUGGAAUUCCAUGUGUAGCGGUGAAAUGCGUAGAUAUAUGGAGGAACACCAGUGGCGAAGGCGGCUCUCUGGUCUGUAACUGACGCUGAGGCUCGAAAGCGUGGGGAGCAAACAGGAUUAGAUACCCUGGUAGUCCACGCCGUAAACGAUGAGUGCUAAGUGUUGGAGGGUUUCCGCCCUUCAGUGCUGCAGCUAACGCAUUAAGCACUCCGCCUGGGGAGUACGACCGCAAGGUUGAAACUCAAAGGAAUUGACGGGGGCCCGCACAAGCGGUGGAGCAUGUGGUUUAAUUCGAAGCAACGCGAAGAACCUUACCAGGUCUUGACAUCCUUUGACCACUCUAGAGAUAGAGCUUCCCCUUCGGGGGCAAAGUGACAGGUGGUGCAUGGUUGUCGUCAGCUCGUGUCGUGAGAUGUUGGGUUAAGUCCCGCAACGAGCGCAACCCUUAUUGUUAGUUGCCAUCAUUCAGUUGGGCACUCUAGCAAGACUGCCGGUGACAAACCGGAGGAAGGUGGGGAUGACGUCAAAUCAUCAUGCCCCUUAUGACCUGGGCUACACACGUGCUACAAUGGGAAGUACAACGAGUCGCGAAGUCGCGAGGCUAAGCUAAUCUCUUAAAGCUUCUCUCAGUUCGGAUUGUAGGCUGCAACUCGCCUACAUGAAGCCGGAAUCGCUAGUAAUCGCGGAUCAGCACGCCGCGGUGAAUACGUUCCCGGGCCUUGUACACACCGCCCGUCACACCACGAGAGUUUGUAACACCCGAAGUCGGUGAGGUAACCUUUUGGAGCCAGCCGCCUAAGGUGGGAUAGAUGAUUGG